Long non-coding RNA from Physella acuta, 233 nucleotides. RefSeq lists it as uncharacterized. NCBI's taxonomy places the organism in Eukaryota, Metazoa, Mollusca, Gastropoda, Physidae. The record is from RefSeq and is a predicted model, not a curated record.
AGACACUUUUAAGGCGUCACAAGUUACAAGCUCGAAGCCAAUAAUUUGGCGUUUGGCUGAGGUAAUAUCCGGACCGUACCAAGUAGCUUUAUCUGCAACUGUCAAUGUUCUGUUACAAGAUUAGUCUAGUGCUAGUACAACACAGCGGAACUCUAAAAAAAUAUUGUGCUGUUUUUUUUUCGAUACUUGUAAAAAUUUGUCGAUUACUUCAUUAAAAAUACGAAUUGUGUUUA